Dreissena polymorpha is the source of this 1445-nucleotide long non-coding RNA. RefSeq lists it as uncharacterized. The transcript is spliced from 3 exons. The record is from RefSeq and is a predicted model, not a curated record. Lineage: Eukaryota; Metazoa; Mollusca; Bivalvia; Myida; Dreissenidae.
UUAUAAGCAUAAUAAAUAUCUGAAACGUGUUCCUUACAUUCCCAUAUUCUACUUGGCAAUAGACAUUGAAGAUAGAAAGUGAUUCUGUUUUAAACAUAAACAUGCACAUUUCGUUGGUAAUAUUGGUUAUGAUGUUGGUUGCUAACUGGAGCGUCGCAUAUGACUGCACAACACAAAGCUGUCUGACACGUUUGUACAACAGUCGCAUCACACGUGCCGAGUAUUACACAAGGCCGUUGGCGGGUUCCAGUUCACAGAGUAGAAAGAAACGUUUCACUUGCGCUCGUUGCACUGUCUGUCAUGCUGGAAUAGUUGUGACCACGACUUCCGGUAAAAGAUGGCUGAUUCACAAAGGCGAUAAUUACGGCUCGAGCGAUAGUUCAUCGGAUACAGUGAUUACUGAUGCAGAUUAUAUGAACAGCAGAUGGACAAGGGUUCGUAGUACAGACAUAGCUCCUGGUCGCACUGUUACCGUAGGUGAAGUCUUGGCUCGCGGCAAUCCCGACACUGGAUACAACUUGUUGAUCGACAACUGUCUACAUGCGGCUGAUAAGAUGUGGCGAUUUUUAACUGGAAGACGUUGGUUUUGUUAGAACCAUCACGCAAACCAAAGGCGAUUUCAUUAUUAUACAGUGUGAACAAACAUAUAUUUAGUUUGAUAAGAAAAACGAUACUUUUAUACAUCGAUCAGGACAGAAUACAGAUUUUAAGUCAUGCAAUUGCAACUGUUUUAUUUGUUUUUCAAUGUUUACUUCGGAAAAAAACGGAAUGAGGUUUUAUAUUAAAUAAUAUAUUUGUCAAUGUUUAAUCUGUCGUCAUAAGUGUAUUAUAUUUUCGACGAUGAAUGAUUUAGCACAAGUUACAUGUUAUCCUUAUAGACUGAGUGUCGACAUGUACAUUGCGAAGCCGUAUAUUGUUUUGAUUCGAAUAGAUACUUAUAUUUGCUAAAAUAUCAAAUUAAAUAAGAUUUUUUUUAACAAGACUUAUCAUUAUCAUAACAGAAAAUUAUUAUUGUACAUGGCUUUCAAUGACAUACAUACAUUUACAUACAUUUACAUUUAUGAUUGCAUAAAAUAUUAAGAAAUAUAAAUUUUUGAAAUGUAUCAUUAAGCUUCAAUUUACGUCGUUUUCAAGACAUUAAAACUUAAAUACCCAUAAAUAUAUAUAUUGAGUUUUAAUGGUAUUGUUUAUAUACAUAUGCCUAUACCAAUAUGGACUUAACAGCAAUUUGUUAAGUCAACUGCAGAAGACAAAUUACAGAAGACAGCUAGGGCUUCGACAAUGUUUGAACAUUUAACCUGAUAGCAUUUAUAAUAUCUAAGGCCCAUUUAUAAUGCUUCCUCGAAAAUGCAGUCUGUAAUUUUAUAAUUUUAAUUACUGUCAAUCUGUACAACUUUAUGUUUUUCAUUAUCAGGCAUUUAUUGUAUUAAUAAAUUAGAUCCGUA